RNAcentral lists this ribosomal RNA (688 nucleotides) under Virgibacillus proomii. RNAcentral describes it as "bacterial SSU rRNA". It matches the Rfam family "Bacterial small subunit ribosomal RNA", at positions 55 to 710 of the family's 1533-position model. The record is from RNAcentral. Lineage: Bacteria; Bacillati; Bacillota; Bacilli; Caryophanales; Bacillaceae.
AUGCAAGUCGAGCGCGGGAAGCAAGCAGAACCCUUCGGGGGUGACGCAUGUGGAACGAGCGGCGGACGGGUGAGUAACACGUGGGCAACCUGCCUGUAAGACUGGGAUAACUCCGGGAAACCGGGGCUAAUACCGGAUAAUACGUUUCCUUGCAUAAGGAGACGUUAAAAGGCGGCGCAAGCUGUCACUUACAGAUGGGCCCGCGGCGCAUUAGCUAGUUGGUGGGGUAACAGCCUACCAAGGCGACGAUGCGUAGCCGACCUGAGAGGGUGAUCGGCCACACUGGGACUGAGACACGGCCCAGACUCCUACGGGAGGCAGCAGUAGGGAAUCUUCCGCAAUGGACGAAAGUCUGACGGAGCAACGCCGCGUGAGUGAAGAAGGUUUUCGGAUCGUAAAACUCUGUUGUUAGGGAAGAACAAGUGCCGUUCAAAUAGGGCGGCACCUUGACGGUACCUAACCAGAAAGCCCCGGCUAACUACGUGCCAGCAGCCGCGGUAAUACGUAGGGGGCAAGCGUUGUCCGGAAUUAUUGGGCGUAAAGCGCGCGCAGGCGGUCUUUUAAGUCUGAUGUGAAAGCCCACGGCUUAACCGUGGAGGGCCAUUGGAAACUGGAGGACUUGAGUACAGAAGAGGAGAGUGGAAUUCCACGUGUAGCGGUGAAAUGCGUAGAGAUGUGGAGGAACACC